AGAGGGAGCCCAGACUGGCCGUCUGCAAGCUGCAUCCUGGCCUCAUGUCUCCUGUGACUGAUCACACUCUGCUGUAAACACGGCCAGCCCCCGUUUUCCCACCUGUAAAAUGGAGAUGAGGACACCUGCCCUGUGUGUUUCCCAGAGUCAUGAUGGGAAUCCCCUGAGACAAAGGACUGGAAGGCAGUUUGUAAACCAAAAUCUCUGAGCAAAUAUGACACCGCAGAGUAGGGAGUGAGUCUGUAAGUGACGUGAAGCCUGGCCUGGAGUGGCAACCGGAAGGCCCUAUGGCCCCAUGGUGCUGUGUCAUCCCUGGACUUCCCGCAGCUGCUAGAGUGAAGGAAGGAGCUGGUCUGUCACUUAACACCAGAAGAGAAAGUGGCCCGGAGAGCAGGCAUCUCCCAGAUAUCUGACUGGGCCAGAUAUCUGACUGCUAGGAACUGGGGACACAGACCUGGGAACUCUGUGCCCUUAUGACAUCAGAGCCUGGCGGCCAGGAUGGAAAGUGUGUUGCGGCCCCAGCCUGAAUGGCACUUUUGGGUGGACAUAGACCCAGAGGUGCAUGGCGUGGGGAGGCUGGCACUAAAGGGCCUGCCCAUGUGGCAUCCCAGGCAUGGACAUCCUGAGGGUGAGGGGAGAAGGCAGGCAAGGUGCUGGCACCACACUUCUGCUGGGAUUGUGCACGGUUUGGCAUCCUGGUUCCAAGCUGAGCCCCCUGCAGUUGCAGAAGGCCACUUUGGUGGGGAGGGGACACUCCUGGGUUCUGGUGGCAUGGCCUGCCUGGCACAGUGUGGCACUGGAUGGAAAGAGAGACUGGGGGGAGUGGUCUCUUAUUUUGAGACACUGCAAACACCUCGUUUCUCUGGGCCUCAAUCCUAAGAGCCUGCGGGUCAGGCCGAGUGGUAAGGUGGAUGAACCCCUGACUUUGGAACCAGACAGACAUGGAUUUCAAUCCUGCUGUGCAAAUCUGGGCAGCCUUCUCAGCUGAGCCUGUUUCCUCACCUGCUGGCAGAGGGCUCAAUGCAAUCGGGCAUGAACCUGGGCACAUGACAGAAUCCAGCCAGGGCUAACUGCUGUUUAUAGUACUGACGCUUAGCGAUCCAAACAAAAAUAAAAUUCAGGAAUCUGGCCCUGUAGGGUCUGUACUGGCCACUCGGCAUCAUCCUCCCACUUCCUGACCACCUUCGGAUGACACUGGUUCUUCCAAAGGAGGGAUGGUGGCUGCCCACCCAGGUGUCCUGGGGACACUGCAAGGGGUGGGGAGACAUGCCAUUCUGGAGGAGUUAAGCUCGCUGGCAAUGGAUCCAAAGGCAGCCCCUCCCCCCUACUCCCCUACGCAAGGGACCAAGCCACAGCUGGCAUGAAGUGAUGCCCUAUGGCACCUUCCAAGGAACUCCUGCCACAUCUCCAUCCCCUCUGUCACUGUGGAGAAGGACCCAUCCUCACUGAAGCAGAGGCUCCCAGGGGCGUGGGGCAGGACUUGCGGGAAGCAAGAGCGGGGCCUGGGGAUGGGGGUGGGGGAGGCAUGGGACCCAGUGUUGGGCCCAGGGGCGCUAGGGGCCUGAGGGGCAGGGGGCAGGGCUAGAGGGGUGAGGGGCUGUGCUAAGCCAGGGAGCCCUCAAGGGCCACACGUUGGUGUGGUAACCCCUGUGUGUAUCUGCUGGAGCAGGCUCAGUCCUCUGGUUACCCCGGCUUCCCACACCCCUCUCCCUUCACACGUUUUGACCCCUAGGCAGCGUCUCCACUUGGGAAGGCCCAAGGCCCAAACUUAAAGUGUUCCUGGUGCCUGACCCCAAGUCUCUUGUUUUAGGAUUGGGGAAACUGAGGUCCCGAGAAGCAAGGCAUUUGUGGUGUUUUGCAGGGGGAGAUCCCCUGGUCUCUCCUCUUUCCAUCCAGUGCCACACUGUGCCAAGCAGGCUGUGCCAGCAGAACCCAGGAGCAUUCCCUCCCCAUCAGAGUGGCCCCUCUACAACUGCAGGGGGCUCAGCUUGGAGCCAGGACCUCCCAUGUCUCCUGGUGGGGAAGGUGAGAGCAGCCUUCCCGAGGGAAAAACGCCUGGCCCUAGCCCAUGUGGACCUCCAGGACGCCGGGACCUUCCCACGGGAGGGGCAGUGCUGUGCAGGCCACCCGCCCUUGCCACAGCAGUCACUACCAUCUCUAGAUGGCACAGAGAGAAGCAAGGGCUGCAGCCACCUGCAGCCUUUCACCAAGAAUAAGCUGUGGCCAGAACUAAUGGGCACAUAGGCUGCUUGGAAU
RNAcentral lists this long non-coding RNA (2256 nucleotides) under Homo sapiens (human). RNAcentral describes it as "non-protein coding lnc-CERK-6:1". The record is from RNAcentral. Lineage: Eukaryota; Metazoa; Chordata; Mammalia; Primates; Hominidae.